This 468-nucleotide ribosomal RNA is filed under the name uncultured bacterium. Its description in RNAcentral is "partial 16S ribosomal RNA". It matches the Rfam family "Bacterial small subunit ribosomal RNA", at positions 28 to 507 of the family's 1533-position model. The record is from RNAcentral.
GACGAACGCUGGCGGCGUGCUUAACACAUGCAAGUCGAACGGAAAGGCCCUGCUUUUGUGGGGUGCUCGAGUGGCGAACGGGUGAGUAACACGUGAGUAACCUGCCCUUGACUUUGGGAUAACUUCAGGAAACUGGGGCUAAUGCCGGAUAGGAGCUCCUGCUGCAUGGUGGGGGUUGGAAAGUUUCGGCGGUUGGGGAUGGACUCGCGGCUUAUCAGCCUGUUGGUGGGGUAGUGGCUUACCAAGGCUUUGACGGGUAGCCGGCCUGAGAGGGUGACCGGCCACAUUGGGACUGAGAUACGGCCCAGACUCCUACGGGAGGCAGCAGUGGGGAAUAUUGCACAAUGGGCGGAAGCCUGAUGCAGCAACGCCGCGUGCGGGAUGACGGCCUUCGGGUUGUAAACCGCUUUCGCCUGUGACGAAGCGUGAGUGACGGUAAUGGGUAAAGAAGCACCGGCUAACUACGUG